Xenopus tropicalis (tropical clawed frog) is the source of this 817-nucleotide long non-coding RNA. RefSeq lists it as uncharacterized. The record is from RefSeq and is a predicted model, not a curated record. The transcript has 3 exons. Lineage: Eukaryota; Metazoa; Chordata; Amphibia; Anura; Pipidae.
CCCCACUACACAGGUGGCAGGAGCUGCGCUGCAUGGGAAAGAUAUGUAUUUUAGGACAACCUUAUUCAACCUGUGUGGGGCUCAGUUUCGUUUCUGAUGGGGCCUAAUGAACAUCUUGCCACUUGAAGAUCUGUGAAACUUGUACAAGUAUGGGAUCUACUAUCUGGAAACCAAAUAUCUAGAGAGAGAAAGAAAUCUUCAAUAAAGUCAAGAGCAAAUAAUGUAUUUUUAAAAAUGAUUUCUGUUUUUCUCUGUUAUAUUGAUAGCAAAACAAUCCUUUUGGUUUUAUUUAGGAGACUUAAGGAUUCAUUUAACACCGAAGAUUAGUUGUGGAAACCUAAAAAAAUGGACCCAGAAAUUGUGGGGGGGUUUUUACGCCAUUCACCGAAGAUACAUCUAUUUUUAUAGCAUUAAGUCCUCAAUAUUUCCAUGGAUUAUCUGCCUUAAAUUUACCCUUAAGAUUGAAAAUGCUCUGAUAUUUAGAUAAUGGAUAAUGUUUUCCUGAAACAUUAUUUAGUCUCUAUAACUUUCUAUUUUUAUUAUUAUUAUUAUUACUUUUUUUUAAGUAUCUGGUCAAGAACCUCAUUUCUUUUAGGUUUUCUCUGACUAAAUCUAGAAAUAUCACAACAGGCUUACUGUUCCCUCUGUUGUUGAUUAGUCCUUUAUUACUCAACGUCUUGAUGUGUCACCUCCCUAAUUAAGAUGCCUCCUCGUUCCAUACUGGAUCAUUUUUCCUAGGAAUGAAGAACAUUCUGUUUUUCUAAAUAUAUAGCACACUUAAGGUUUGUGGGAGUUUGGACUCGUUUCUGGGAAUGAA